CCUACGGGAGGCUGCAGUGAGGAAUAUUGGUCAAUGGGCGCUAGCCUGAACCAGCCAAGUAGCGUGAAGGAUGACUGCCCUAUGGGUUGUAAACUUCUUUUAUAUGGGAAUAAAGUGCAGUAUGUAUACUGCUUUGCAUGUACCUUAUGAAUAAGGCUCGGCUAACUCCGUGCCAGCAGCCGCGGUAAUGCGGAGGAUACGAGCGUUAUCCGGAUUUAUUGGGUUUAAAGUGAGCGUAGGCGGGUUGUUAAGUCAGUUGUGAAAGUUUGCGGCUCAACCGUAAAAUUGCAGUUGAUACUGGCAUCCUUGAGUGCAGUAGAGGUAGGCGGAAUUCGUGGUGUAGCGGUGAAAUGCUUAGAUAUCACGAAGAACUCCGAUUGCGAAGGCAGCCUGCUGGACUGUAACUGACGCUGAUGCUCGAAAGUGUGGGUAGCAAACAGGAUUAGAUACCCUGGUAGUC
This 460-nucleotide ribosomal RNA is filed under the name uncultured bacterium. RNAcentral's name for it is "partial 16S ribosomal RNA". It matches the Rfam family "Bacterial small subunit ribosomal RNA", at positions 338 to 795 of the family's 1533-position model. The record is from RNAcentral.